CUUCCUGGAAGUAGAUAAUAUGUGGCUCCUGGACAGCUUUUUACACUCAUAUUCAGCAUUCAAUAAAAAACUGCUAGGCACACACACCAAAACAAACAAACGUACUGGUUAACAUGAAUAAAAUUUAGAGAAAAAAAACAAACAAUAUACAUGACCUACAGAUAAACAGAUAUUAGGAUUGUUUAAAAUAAGUAUGACUAAUAUGUUAAAACAAGGCAUAAAGAAAAUAGGUAGAAUUUCACCAGAGAAAUGAAUAAAAUGGAAAUUAAUUCUGGAGUUGAAAAACAUAGUAUCUGAAAUUAGAAACUAUUUGAUGGUGUAAUAGCAUAGUAGUUGUAACAGAUUGUAGGAUUAGAGAAGGUAAAACAGGGUGAUAUUAAAUAUCCAAAUAGAAUCACAGAGGAAUAAAAUAACUGAAAAUAUAGACAAGACUAUUUAGUCACAUGUGGAACAUAAUGAAAAACUCUACAUACUUUUGAUUGCAAUCCUAGAAGGACUAGGAAUGGGGAAUAAGCGAUGAUUAAUGGAAUAAUAACCAAGAUUUUGCCAAAAGUGGUGACAAAUUCUCACCCCGCAAGAUACUCAGUGAAACCCAACUAGAAUAAAAAAAUAAACAAGCACACCUAGGAAUAUCAUAGGAAGAGAAGACUGCUUAAGACCCAAGUCAAAGAGAAAAAUCUUAAAGGCAACCACAUGAAAAUGACACAUCCCUUUCAAGGGGCAACAGAAAAAGGGAGAAUUGACUUUUUAAAUCAAGAUACCAAAAGAGGGAGUUCCCGUCAUGGUGCAGUGGUUAACGAAUCUGACUAGGAACCAUGAGGUUUUGGGUUCGAUCCCUGCCCUUGCUCAGUGGGUUAAUGAUCCGGCAUUGCCGUGAGCUGUGGUGUAGGCUGCAGACGCGGCUCGGAUCCCGCGUUGCUGUGGCUCUGGUGUAGGCUGGUGGCUACAGCUCCGAUUGGACCCCUAGCCUGGGAACCUCCGCAGGAGCGGCCCAAGAAAUAGCCAAAAAAAAAAAAAAAAAAAAAAAUAGCCAAAAAAAAAAGAUACCAAAAGACAGAAAUGAUGCCUUUUCUGAAAAGGAGUCCUGAAAGAAAAAAUUAACUACCAGACUAGAAUCCUGUUAGCAGAAAAAAUUUCCUUCAGAAAUGAAGCUUUCAAACAGACAAAAACUACAAGAACUCAUCAGUCACAUCUGCGCGAAAAGAAACACAGUCAGUGAAUUCUUUGGGCAGAAGGAAAACAGUCCUGAAGGAAUCAACAAAUUUCCAGUAAGAAAUGAAGAGCAAGAAUACGAUUAAAUAUAAAUUGAUACUGAUUGAAUAUUGAUUAUUAAAGGCAAAAAUAGUUUCUUUAUCAUUUUAAAGUUUUACUGAAAGUAUAGUUGAUUUACAAUGUUGUGAUAAUUUGGUAGUUUCUUAAAGGAUUUAAAUAUUUUAAAAUGUUAAUUCAUCACAAUAGUAAUGUAAAAGGCAGGGGGUAUAAAUAGAUUAAGGAAUUCUAAGGUUCUAAGCAUUAUCACGGCAGUGGUAAAAUAAUUUCUAUUUAACUCUUGUAGAUCAAAUAUGUAAUCUCUAGGAUAAUCAGUAGAGAAUAAAUAAAAAAAUAAUUGAAGGAAAGAUGAAAAAUAAGAAAUAUCUAAAUAAUCCAAAAGAAGAAAUGAACUUUAGGGACCAACAGAAAAAUUUAUAUAUAAAUACAUCUGUUUUUUUUUUAAGGCUGCCCCUUGGCAUAUGGAAGUUCCCGGAUCAAAUAGAGCCCUAGCAGAGAACUACACCACAGCUGCAGCAACGCGAGAUCCUUAACCCACUGUGCUGAGCCAGGACUGAACAAGGGCCUUCACAGAGACAAGGCCGAUCAUUAACGCACAGAGAGAACUCCUCAAACAGAAACAUUUAGACGGUAACUGUAGGUGGAAGAAUAUCAACUGUUACAUUAAUUGUAAUUGGAUUAAAUGAUCCAAUUAAACAACCAAAUUUAUCAGGCUAGGUUUAAGAAAAAUUCAGCUAUACAAACUAUCACAUAAAUAUGUGUGUGUGAAUGUGUUAUCACAGAAAGGUGAAAAAUUUUAAAACAGAAAAAGAUAUAUAAUACUAACCAAAAUAAACCAAGUGUAGUUAUGCUUACUUAAGACAAGAGACUUUAAGGAAGAAUGCAUUAUUAAAGAUAAAGAGAGAGAUUUCAUAAUGAUAAAGAGGUAAUGUACCAGAAAUAUGUCCUUUCUAAGGCUGAAUAUAUCCCUAUAAGAUAAUUACAAAAUAUAUAAAGUUAAAUUGAGAGAACAUAAAAGAGAAAUAGGCAAAUCCACAGUCAUAGUAGGAGGUAUAAUACAACUCUCUCAAUUGCAGAGAGAAUAAGAAGAUUUGAAGAAAUUUACAUACUUGGUACACUGGAGAAUACACAUUCUUUUUAUAUGCAUAUGGCAUAUAUCAAAGUUAUCUAUAUUCUGGGUCAUAAAGAAAGCCUCAAAAUCUUGUUAAAUUGAAAUGACUCAGUGAAAUUAGGACAGAAAUAGGGAGUUCCUAUCGUGGCUCAGUGGUUAACGAAUCUGACUAGGAACCAUGAGGUUGUGGGUUCCAUCCCUGGCCUUGCUCAGUGGUUAAAGAUCUGGCGUUGCCAUGAGCUGUGGUGUAGGUUGCAGACUCGGCUCAGAUCCAGCAUUGCUGUGUCUCUGGCGUAGGCUGGCAGCUACAGCUCCAGUUAGACCCCUAGCUUGGGAACCUCCAUAUGCCAUGGGUUUGGCCCUUGAAAAGAUUAAAAAAAAAAAAAAAGAAAAAAGACAAGAAAUAAAAAUUUAACAAGAAAUCCCCAAAUGCUUCACAAUUAAAUAACACAAUCCAUGGGCCAAAGAAGAAAUCAUAGCAAAAACUUUCAUAUAUUUUGAACUGGGUAAAAAUUAAGAUCUGGAGUUCCUGUCAUGGCGCAGUGGUUAACAAAUCCGACUAGGAACCAUGAGGUUGCGGGUUCAGUCCCUGCCCUUGCUCAGUGGGUUAAUGAUCCGGCAUUGCCGUGAGCUGUGGUGUAGGUUGCAGACGCAGCUCGGAUCCCGCGUUGCUGUGGCUCUGGCUAGGCCGGUGGCCACAGCUCCAAUUCGACCCCUAGCCUGGGAACCUCCAUAUGCCGCGGGAGCGGCCCAAAGAAAUAGCAAAAAGACAAAAAAAUAAAUAAAUAAAUAAAAAUAAAAAAAUUAAGAUCUAUCAUAACCAGAUUUACAGGGAAAUUUUUAAAUUUUGAAUGCACGUAUUAGAAAAGAAAGAUUAAAAUCAGUAAUCUAAGCUUUCAUCUGAAAAAGCUAGGAAAAGAACCAAUCAAGUACAAAUCAAAUAAGAACACAAACACAUAGUAUAUAAAUAAACAAAUAAAUACAAUAGCUGACAAAGGUACAACCAAGAAAGUCAAUAAAACUGAAAGCUGAUUCUUUGUAGUAAUUAAUAGAUUAAAAACUCUUAGUAAGACUAAUAAUAAAAGAAAACAUCAAUUACCAAUUUCAGGUAUAAAAAAGGAACAUCACUACCAAUCCUACAGAUAUUAAAAAAAUGAAAAGGGAUACAUGAACAACUGCCAAUAAAUUUGACAAUUUAUAUAAAUGUAAAACAUUUUAAAAACACAACUUGCUAAAACUGAAAUAAGAAGAAAUAGGAAAUGUGAUUAGUCACAUCUAUCAAGUAAGUUAAACAUUAUUAAAAACCUUGCCACUCCAGUUCAGACUAGUGAAUUCUUCCAAAUACUCAUGCAAUAAUUAACACCAAUUUAUACAAACUCUUUCAAAGGACUGAAAAAUAGAAACUAUUACCCAAAUCACUUGGGUGCUAGCAUAACUUCAAUGGAUUACAACAUCCAAACCUAAAUACGAUGUUAUAAGAAAGGAAAAUGAGAGGCCAAUCUCCUUUAUAAACAGAUGGAAAAAUUCGUAACAAAAUAUCAGUAAAUAAAAUUCAGAAAUAUAUAAAAGGGAAAUGAUAAGUUAUGAGAAAAUUGUGUUAUUUUAGGAAUACAAAAGCAAUUUAUUAUUUGAAAAUUGAUCAGUUUAAUUGAUAUCAUUAACAGAUAAAAGAAAAAUCAUUUGACUAUCUCAAAGAAUAGAGAAAAAGUCACUUGCUAAAAUUCAGCACACAUUCAUGGUAAAAUUGUUUGCAAACUGAAAAGAAGGGAAUUUUCAGAAUGUAUUUUAAAAUCUACAGUAAGCAUUGAAGAAAAAGAAUAAAACUUGACUUACCCAUCAGAUAAUGAAAUUUAUGAAGCACAGUAAUUGAGACAAUAUGGUAUUGCUGAAUAAACAAAGAGAAGAAUGAAAAAUAAGACUUGAAUAAACCUAUCGUCACCUGAUUUAUGAAAAAAAUGACACUUCAUAAACAUGGGGAUUGGAACGUCUUUUCAGUAGAUGGUACAAAGUCAUUUAGAUAGUUAUAUGAUAUCAAAAAAAUAAUUUGAUCCUAUCAUUCAUAUGAAAAAAUUAAUUUUACAUGGAUUAUAGCUCUAAAUGUGAAAAGCUAAGUAGUGGAUUUUUCAAAAACACCAUUACAACAAGUUUCAUGAUUUUGGCAUAUACAAGGCUUUAAAGAGAACACAAAAAAUUCUAACCAUAACUGAAAAAUAUUUAAAAAAAUAAGUUCAGUUUUAUUCUUCAGAGAUAUCACAGGAAAAUUAAAAUGUAAGCCAUAAAUGGAAGAAGAUAUUUGCAAUACAUACUUCUGAAAAAGUACUUAUACCCAGAAUAUGUAAGAAGCUUCUAAAGACCAUUAAGAAAAAAAAGGGGAAAUGCCCUAACAAGAAAAAUAGACAAAAAGACUUAGGCACUUCACAAGAAUGCACCCUAGAAAAAUAAACAUGUGGGCGUUCCCACUGUCGGGUUAUGAACCGGACUAGUAUCCUUGAGGACCCAGGUUUGAUCCCUGGCCUCACUCAGUGGGUUAAGGAUCUGGCAUUGUUGUGAGUUGUGGUGUAGGUGACAGACACAGCUAGGAUCCUGGGUUACUGUCGCUGUGGCCUAGGCCUGAGACUGCAGCUCCAAUUCAACCCCUAACCUGGGAACUUCCAUAUGCCUCUGGUGCAGC
This 5051-nucleotide long non-coding RNA is filed under the name Sus scrofa (pig). Its description in RNAcentral is "lncRNA (ENSSSCG00000062860.1)". Lineage: Eukaryota; Metazoa; Chordata; Mammalia; Artiodactyla; Suidae. The record is from RNAcentral.